Molecule: ribosomal RNA, 449 nt
Filed under: uncultured bacterium
Lineage: Bacteria
Description: bacterial SSU rRNA
Rfam family: Bacterial small subunit ribosomal RNA
Source: RNAcentral
UGGGGAAUUUUGGACAAUGGGCGCAAGCCUGAUCCAGCCAUUCCGCGUGCAGGAUGAAGGCCCUCGGGUUGUAAACUGCUUUUGUACGGAACGAAACGCGCUGAGCUAAUACCUCGGCGUAAUGACGGUACCGUAAGAAUAAGCACCGGCUAACUACGUGCCAGCAGCCGCGGUAAUACGUAGGGUGCGAGCGUUAAUCGGAAUUACUGGGCGUAAAGCGUGCGCAGGCGGUUAUGUAAGACAGAUGUGAAAUCCCAGGGCUCAACCUUGGAACUGCAUUUGUGACUGCAUAGCUAGAGUACGGUAGAGGGGGAUGGAAUUCCGCGUGUAGCAGUGAAAUGCGUAGAUAUGCGGAGGAACACCGAUGGCGAAGGCAAUCCCCUGGACCUGUACUGACGCUCAUGCACGAAAGCGUGGGGAGCAAACAGGAUUAGAUACCCCCGUAGUCC